Molecule: ribosomal RNA, 763 nt
Filed under: Prevotella melaninogenica
Lineage: Bacteria; Pseudomonadati; Bacteroidota; Bacteroidia; Bacteroidales; Prevotellaceae
Description: bacterial SSU rRNA
Rfam family: Bacterial small subunit ribosomal RNA
Source: RNAcentral
GAUGAACGCUAGCUACAGGCUUAACACAUGCAAGUCGAGGGGAAACGGCAUUUAGUGCUUGCACCGAAUGGACGUCGACCGGCGCACGGGUGAGUAACGCGUAUCCAACCUACCCAUUACUGUGGGAUAACCUGCCGAAAGGCAGACUAAUACCGCAUAGUCUUCGAUGACGGCAUCAGAUUUGAAGUAAAGAUUUAUCGAUAAUGGAUGGGGAUGCGUCUGAUUAGCUUGUUGGCGGGGUAACGGCCCACCAAGGCAACGAUCAGUAGGGGUUCUGAGAGGAAGGUCCCCCACAUUGGAACUGAGAUACGGUCCAAACUCCUACGGGAGGCAGCAGUGAGGAAUAUUGGUCAAUGGGCGCGAGCCUGAACCAGCCAAGUAGCGUGCAGGAUGACGGCCCUAUGGGUUGUAAACUGCUUUUGUAUGGGGAUAAAGUCAAUCACGUGUGAUUGUUUGCAGGUACCAUACGAAUAAGGACCGGCUAAUUCCGUGCCAGCAGCCGCGGUAAUACGGAAGGUCCGGGCGUUAUCCGGAUUUAUUGGGUUUAAAGGGAGCGUAGGCCGGAGAUUAAGUGUGUUGUGAAAUGUAGACGCUCAACGUCUGACUUGCAGCGCAUACUGGUUUCCUUGAGUACGCACAACGUUGGCGGAAUUCGUCGUGUAGCGGUGAAAUGCUUAGAUAUGACGAAGAACUCCGAUUGCGAAGGCAGCUGACGGGAGCGCAAACUGACGCUUAAGCUCGAAGGUGCGGGGUAUCGAACAGG